Non-coding RNA from Pelecanus crispus (Dalmatian pelican), 569 nucleotides. The record is from RefSeq and is a predicted model, not a curated record. NCBI's taxonomy places the organism in Eukaryota, Metazoa, Chordata, Aves, Pelecaniformes, Pelecanidae.
CUACAGGUUGAAGCAAUACUUGUAAACAUUUUUGGUGGGAUCGUCAACUGUGCCAUUAUAGCCAAUGGUAUUACCAAAGCUUGCCGAGAGCUUGAGCUGAAAGUACCUCUGGUGGUCAGACUGGAAGGAACAAAUGUUCAUGAAGCCCAGCGUAUUCUGAAUGAAAGUGGACUCCCCAUCACGUCUGCAAAUGACCUUGAGGAUGCAGCAAAGAAGGCAGUGGCUAGUGUGGCCAAAAAAUAACAACUUGAAGAUUAUUCUCGUGGAAAGCGUGUGUUUGUGUUUCACAAGAGGUCAUUCCUGUUGUUGUUUCAGAGAGGAUUAGUGGAGUUUUUCUAAGCAGUCAUCAGUGUUGGUGGACUUAAUUUGUAAUACAUGGCAAACUCAGGCCAUAGGCUUGCAAGUUAGGCUUCAGAAAUUUUGCAACUACGUUCUUGAAAAGUUUGUACGUCUUCAUCUAAUUUUGGUAAUUUUCUUGUUCAGCAUUGUAAUAAGGAAUACUUCACUUCAUAAAGCUCUUUUUCUGCUUUCCUUCCAAAAUUGUCACUGAUAAACUCAUGAUAUGAUAC